UGCAUGAAGUCGGAAUUGCUGUAAUCGCGGAUCAGCAUGCCGCGGUGAAUACGUUCCCGGGCCUUGUACACACCGCCCGUCACACCAUGGGAGCCGGUAAUACCCGAAGUCAGUAGUCCAACCUCGUGAGGACGCUGCCGAAGGUAGGAUUGGCGACUGGGGUGAAGUCGUAACAAGGUAGC
This 182-nucleotide ribosomal RNA is filed under the name uncultured bacterium. Its description in RNAcentral is "partial 16S ribosomal RNA". It matches the Rfam family "Bacterial small subunit ribosomal RNA", at positions 1317 to 1500 of the family's 1533-position model. The record is from RNAcentral.